ACCAUCAGAUGUCCACAUUAGCAGGGGCUGGAAGCCAGCAGCCCAGACUUCCAUCUGGGUCUCCCACGCUAAUGGCAAAGACUCUGUAAUUUGUGUUAUCAUCUGCUACCUCCUGGGGUGUGCAUUAGCAGGAAGCUGGAAUCAGAAGCAGAGCCAGGACUUGUACCCCGGCAUUCCUAUAUGGGAUGAGGGCAUAUGAAUCAAACUGGAAUCUUGAUUACUCUGUCAAAUGUCUGUCUAUGAACUUGCCUUUUAAUUCAUUUUUUCUCUGACAGAUUGUACAAGAUUAAUUCAAAGAGUGCAGUGGUUAAAAAUGAGUAUGACCUUACAGUUAAACCCUCAUUUCUGUAGUUGAAUAUUUUUAAAGAUGAAGGAAUAUUAAUUCAGUAGUCGAUCAAUCAAUGUGGUCUCAUUGGCUGAUUUUCCUAACCUGGCUGUUCACAAUACUGAGAACAAGCCAUUGUAUUUUAGAACUUUGGGUCCUGAGAAUUCUGAAUGCUUCCUUAUUUGGGAAGCAGUUGGGUGGCUUAUAUUCCACUCCCCGUCUUCCUCCUCAAUGCUCAGGAAGAUUCUGACUGCUCUCUUUUCCUUUGGGUUCUAUUGUCACUGUUUUCUAAAAAGGGCUAAUGAUAACUCAGGAGUGAAACUUGGCCUCUGACUUGAGUUUCACUCAUUCCUCCUGUAGCUGCUGAGCUGUAUUUAUCACAGUCACAAAGCCAGAUUGAAUGCAACAUCCUUGAUCUGUUGUCACCUCAAGUGAUCUCUACAUUUGUGUCAAAUAUUGUUAAUAGUUUUCCAGUUAAUGAAGGAACAUGGAAAACGGGCCCAGGGACAUAGGGCUGGGGAGCAAGUGGCAAAGCCAGGAUUUAACCCUCAAGGUUCCUGCUCCAGGAGUGUCCUCCCCUUGAGGUCUACUUCCAUUUGCUUCUUCUCCCAGCGCCUGACCUGGUAGGGGUCCUAGCAGUUACAGGAGGCCCUGGUCCCUUUGCUGUAUAGCCACUUUCUGAAUGGCGGCUCCAGGUUCUGUCCGACUCUGCAGUCACUCUCAGAAGCCACUCUCACUACCUGACAGUCUGGGGAAAGACAGCAUCCUGGCUGGGGCAGGGAUUCUGCUGAGGGGCUACACACAUGCACCAUAGGAGGAGGUGUUCUGUGAGAAAAUGGCCUAGACUUGAGGAGGGCACGUUCCGGGGGCUAAAAGAGAACUUCCCAAUCCUCAGGGAAGCUCUGCUCACUGCCAUGCCAGAGACUGGAAAUUGCUCACCCUCCUAGAGUACCACACACUGGCUUCCCCAUCCUAUGUGUACAGAGCAGAAAAGCCCUGAAAAUCCUACAGAAGAUCCCAGAGGUCUCUAGAGAUGGAAAAGGGACAAGCUUUAGGUGACAAGAGAGAGGUAAAAGUAAGCAAGAUCAUUUGUUUCAUACUGUCUACACUUCCAAAGCAGAAAUGAAUUUGUUCUCUGUGUUUGCUUUAUUGGAGGUAUGUAUGCUUGACUGGUUAGAGCAUGAAAAAGAUUAUGGGAUUCUGGGUUUGUUGAUCUUUAAAUGGAUUGUAUUCAUGAAUUAAUCAGGGCGGGGGUAGGUCUCAGGGAAGACCCAGGAUCUGCCAGGCUGAGACUGAAGCCAAGUGAGGGAUUUGGUUUCUUCUCAGUCUGGAAAAGUCUAGAGAGAUGCAGUCCGCCUGCUGCAUCAGGAAGGGAGGCGGGAACAUCAAUAAAUAAUAAACAAGAUAUAAACGGUAUUCUCUGUUUCUCUGUGUAUCUGGAAGGAGUGGUGGCCAGCAACAGGGUUCCAGCACCCCCACCUGUGAUGGAACUUGCGGCUUGGGGUGGACUCCUUGGCCCACUGGGCAUCUGCUUCAUCAGCUGUGGAUCCAGAGAGUAGCCUGGAGGCCCUGGUCCCCCACAAUGUUAAAAUCUUUCGAGGGAGUCUGUUCCCCCCAGUCAAAAGUGAUUUUCCUGUGGUUGACCCUGCGGAUGAGUCAGCUCUCCAAGCACAGCGGCAUAGCUGCUGUAAGAUUUGCUGGAGGCAGGGAAGUCGCAGGGUUUUUAAAGCAAAAGGACGGGUCCCUCCAGACCCCUCGCCCUGCAACUCCUGCCCUUCCUCCACCCGACCCGCAGUCUCCACUCCCACAACAGUGCCCAGCUCUGCAGCCCCGGGCAGCACAGCCGGGGUGUACGCACAGCGGCCUCCAAAGCUGGGGAGCACAACUCUCGGCUCCCAGGAUUUGAACAGUCACCGAUUCUUAAACGCAGGACAGUUGCAAAGAGCGGGGUCGAGGCCUGGGCUAUUUAAACAGAGGCCUCUUUAUCUGCUUCAGCCCCUACCGCAGGGCAGCCUUGCGAGUUAUCGGAGUGUCAUUAACCGGGACAGCUGCGGGUAAACUAGGAGGAGGUGGACACCAGCGCCUCCGUCAACAGGAAUUUAGCUUUAAUCUGUCCUUUAGUUAAAGAAACACCACUCUCCGUCUCUCUCCGCUGUGCGUCAUUUAUUUAUCUCCGUCAACCUCCAGAUAGAAGGCUGGCAUUGACUCAGGAAAACCCAUGGGAUAGAAAAUUAAUAAGGUGCGAGGGACAUUCACCUUAGGUCAAUUCGAGGGGACGCGGGGAGAAAGGGAACUUGCUCCGGAGUUCCUGCUUAGCUGGGAACCGAUGCUACAUAUUUAUAGAGGUGAAGUUGGAGGGCUGCCAAACGCCUGCAUUUAAGUGAUUAACAAAUGUUUCUCUUUAAGUGGACACCUCUUGUUCUAAAUAUAUUUGACAAGAAUGCAAAGAGUGCUCUGGGGGGCAGAAAGGGCAGCGCCCGGGCCUUCCCCCUGCGCGGCGGGCAGCCCGGCUCGGGCGCGCCGCUCGCCGCUCGGUGCCAGCCUGGUUCACGUCGCGGGUGGGCAGGCUGCCAGCGCCAGCGGCUCCCCGCUGUUUAACGACACUGGAUUUACUGCUUCUCUGCAUAUUGCUGUUAUUUUGUAUAAACAAGGUUAACACUGCUUUUAAAUUAAAUGCACCACCUGGUGACUGAAUGGGUGACCUUCCCAGCUCUCUUCACCUGGCUGGGCAGAGCCCGGGCAGGCUCCCAUUCCAACCUGCUGCUCUCUUGGCAAUCCCCGUGGCUCCCCAAAUCCGGCGGGGGAAGCGCGCGGCGGAGGCACCUGCUGCGCCCCGCGGCCAGCAGCCGCGUUCAGGGCGCGGGCGCUGGGUAAUUGGUCCAGGGCCGGGGCGCCUGCCGCGGGCACGAAGCCCAGAGACGGCCCUGCGCGGGCUGUGGGUGUCACAGGGCGCCUCCCCACCCACCCCGGGGGGGCCUAGAUCCCCGGAGGGGCCUGCCUUUGUGUCGUGUCGCGCUCCGGCGUGGAAGCGCUCUCCCGCGAGGCUGCGCUCUCCCCGCCCUCUCGGAAUUUGAACACCUGGAAGCAUUCCGCGGGCUCUGGGUUUGAGGAGAUUUAAUGGUGUAAACAAACUCAGCAGGAAGCCCCCUUUGAUAUGAAAAGGCCGAGACCGGCGGGCGGGCGGGGCUGAGCCAGGGUUUGCCGAGGGCUUGGCCUGGGAACGUCCCUUCCACGGGGAGCAUUGAGGCGGACAGCUGAGUCUUGGAGGCAUCCGGGAAGUUUCUCUGGAAACUUCAGGCAAAAGGCACUUGCGGUUACUCAUUUCGUUAAAGGCAUCCUCGCCCCCCUCGUUCCUGCCCUCCGCCAGGACGCGCACGGGCAGAAUUACUCCGAGAGCCCCGGCGGGGCGGUUUGCCCGCUGCGCUCCGGACCGGCUGCUGUGCGCAGAAGGAAUCAGACUUGGGGGGCACCCCGGGGUCACCGGAUGCGGGGUCCACCCUCGUGGGUGCUGUGGGUGCUGCUGUCCUGGGCGGUCCCCAGAACGCUGCGAGCUGCAGGGGUGGAAAAUCUGUGCCCACGCCUAGCAGGACAGCAAUCCCUGGGCGCACAGCUUCUGCGGCAAGAGGCCCUUGCUAGCGACUUGUAAUAAUAGAGCAUCACGCGGGUCCUUCGCUAGUGGAAAACUGGAAUUAACGACAGGUCUGUUUUGUGACAACACUUUUUUGCAAAUUGUGCAUAAUUUUUUUUUAAAAUCAGGAUACACGUUUUCAAUGACCCUUCCAAGGAUCCUUGGUAUAUAGGCAGAGUCAUAGAAUUGUGAUUGCUGAAAUCCUAACAUUUGUAUGCGAAUUUUAUGAAAAGUUUGAGUAUGAAUUUUUUAAAUACCUUUUAAUAUCAGUCUAUCCAGAAUCUUCCCGAAGCAUACGUUAUGUUGGGGGAACGUGCCACACAGCCAAUACAAUCUGUAGUCCAUGCACCUUAAGUGUUCUGGCCCGUUUCUAAAGACUUCCAGGUGCUAGGUUUUGGGGACAGUCAGGAUCUAGAUGGGAUCAAUGGGAGAAAUGUGUGCCUAAAACCACAAGUCCACUGACUGGACUCUGAUGCUGGCCUACUAAGUGAGCCUCCGUUGGAGCUCCACCUCUGAUCCAGAUCCCUUGUUAAUGCACUUGGGAAAGGAGCAGAAGAUGGCACAAGUGUUGGGGGCCCUAAUACCUGCGUGGGAGGCCCAGCUGGAAUUCCUGGUUUCUGGCUUCAGUCUGGUGCAGCCCCUGCUAUUGUGGUCAUUUGGGGAGUGAACCAGUGAAAAGAAGACCUCUCUCUCUCUCUGUAACUGUGUCUUUCAAAUAAAUUAAUAAAGCAAAACAACCCACUGUGUGCAAAAAGACACACAUGAGGAGGCACAAAACUCCAGACCCUAAAGGAGACUUUCCAGAUCAGGUACCACGGUGUGCCAGGACCUCCCUCUGCACUAUUGUGGGACAAAUCAGGAGAGGCAGACAGUUCACUUUGCUUAUAUGGUGGCUGCUGUGUGCCAGACAGGAUCCUCGAUGCUCCACAUAAUCCUUACAAGAACCGUCUGCGGCAAGAACUGUUAUCUCCAUUUUACUUGUAGGGAAACCAAGAGGGAGAGAAAUCGGCUAACUUGGCCAUGGUCUCACAAGCAAAGCGUUCAAAGGGCUGGCUGGAGCCCACCCCUACCCCCACCCCCAACGCUGCCUCUGAGGUUCCAUGGUCUUGGUGUUGCCAGAGCUGAUUUUCUUAAACAGCCUGUCUUCUGGGCACUACUGCUCCAGAGAAACGUGAACUUUUAGAACUUACUUAUGGCUAGACAUUGUUGUGGACUUGAUAUGCAAGCCUGUCAUUAUCUUCUCCCUCAAAUUCAGAGAGAAAGAGAGAGGGUACAGAGAGAAUUUUUAUUUAUAGAUAACAAGGCAGAGCCCAUCACCAUCAGCCUCACCAGUAGCCACCAGCUUCUCAAUUGUGAUGAAUAUACGUCUGGAAAGUAAAUCCUCAGUGGAUCAGCUUUUCUAGAGCAGUAAAAAUUAAAAUAUUCUCUUCUGCUGGUGAGGCUGAAUUCCCAGGGUUUUGCUUGGAAGCAGAGGGUUUGGAAGCUGUGGUGGACAAUGCAGCAAGCCCAACACACCCUUGGAGAAACAAGCAUCCUUGCAGAACUAGGGACUAUGCAGAGGCUGCAAUGGGGAAUAGUCAUUGAGAACUAGGGUUGCCAAGAAUACGGAGGUAACUGCCAGCUAGUUCUAAAGGAGACCUUUCUAGAACAGACAGGUUUCUGUUUCCUCCUGAAAGCUUCUCUUAGACUAGAAAGCAAAUUACUUCACGACAAUUUUUUUUCUGGGACUUUUCUCCAUGGUGCCUCUGCAGUCUCUACUCUAUACUGCAGCUGCAAGAGGGAGCCUUCUUGUUCCCUCUGCAAACAUUCCUUGGGUCAGAACAGCAAAGCACUUCUGGGAGAUGGUGGCUGAGUGGAAGUAAGAGGUGUUUUCUGGUCAGACUUAGGUUUUGUUCCUUUGUAAGUAAUAGCUACUGAAUGGCCUUAUUAUAUAAUGAUAUAUAUUAUACCUGAUAGCAUACCAACAUGUUAUAUUUAUCGUAAAUGCAUACUAUACUAAUAGAACAUUAAUAUACAAUAUUGAUAACAUUGACAACACACAACAUUAAUAUAAUUUAAUGUAAUCAUAUGUUACAUUAUAAUAAAUUAUGUAAUAUAUUAUUACAUUAUAAUA
Non-coding RNA from Oryctolagus cuniculus (rabbit), 6066 nucleotides. NCBI's taxonomy places the organism in Eukaryota, Metazoa, Chordata, Mammalia, Lagomorpha, Leporidae. The record is from RefSeq and is a predicted model, not a curated record.